Molecule: ribosomal RNA, 500 nt
Filed under: uncultured bacterium
Lineage: Bacteria
Description: partial 16S ribosomal RNA
Rfam family: Bacterial small subunit ribosomal RNA
Source: RNAcentral
AUUGAACGCUGGCGGCGUGCUUAACACAUGCAAGUCGAUCGGUAACGCGGGGGCAACCCUGGCGACGAGAGGCGGACGGGUGAGGAACGCUUGGGAAUCUGCCUAUCAGCGGGGGACAACACGGGGAAGCUCGUGCUAAUACCGCAUACGCUCUACGGAGGAAAGCCGGGGACCGCAAGGCCUGGCACUGAUAGAUGAGCCCAAGCCGGAUUAGCUAGUUGGCGGGGUAACGGCCCACCAAGGCGACGAUCCGUAGCUGGUCUGAGAGGACGAUCGGCCACACUGGGACUGGGAAACGGCCCAGACUCCUACGGGAGGCAGCAGUGGGGAAUAUUGGACAAUGGGGGAAACCCUGAUCCAGCGACGCCGCGUGGGUGAAGAAGGCCUGCGGGUUGUAAAGCCCUUUCGGUAGGGACGAAAGCUCUCGACCUAACACGUCGGGAGGUUGACUUAACCUACAAAAGAAGCACCGGCUAACUCUGUGCCAGCAGCCGCCGUAA